RNAcentral lists this ribosomal RNA (378 nucleotides) under uncultured bacterium. RNAcentral describes it as "partial 16S ribosomal RNA". It matches the Rfam family "Bacterial small subunit ribosomal RNA", at positions 338 to 733 of the family's 1533-position model. The record is from RNAcentral.
CCUACGGGAGGCAGCAGUGGGGAAUAUUGCACAAUGGGGGAAACCCUGAUGCAGCGACGCCGCGUGAGUGAAGAAGUAAUUCGUUACGUAAAGCUCUAUCAGCAGCGAAGAAAAUGACUGUACCUGAGUAAGAAGCGCCUGCUAACUACGUGCCAGCAGCCGCGGUAAUACGUAGGGGCCAAGCGUUCUCCGGAUUUACUGGGGGUAAAGGGAGCGUAGACGGUGAGCCAAGUCUGGAGUGAAAUGCCGGAGCUUAACUGCGGAACUGCAUUGGAAACUGGCGAACUAGAGUGCGGGAGGGGUAAGCGGAAUGCCUCGUGUAGCGGUGAAAUGCGUAGAGAUUAGGAGGAACACCGGUGGCGAAGGCGGCUCACUGGA